RNAcentral lists this transfer RNA (87 nucleotides) under Synechococcus sp. WH 8103. RNAcentral's name for it is "tRNA-Leu". It matches the Rfam family "tRNA". From Rfam's summary of the family: Transfer RNA (tRNA) molecules are approximately 80 nucleotides in length. Their secondary structure includes four short double-helical elements and three loops (D, anti-codon, and T loops). The record is from RNAcentral. Lineage: Bacteria; Bacillati; Cyanobacteriota; Cyanophyceae; Synechococcales; Synechococcaceae. RNAcentral also lists the same sequence under 17 other names.
GCGGAUGUGGCGGAAUUGGUAGACGCGCUAGUUUCAGGUACUAGUGGUGGCAACAUCGUGGGAGUUCAAGUCUCCCCAUCCGCACUA